CGUAUCACGUUGAUACAAUGGUUCCCACACGAUCACCGAAGUUAAACAAUGUCGUGCCUAGUCAAUACCUAGAUGGGUGACCACUUGGGAAUACCAGAUGCU
Non-coding RNA from Acanthosepion pharaonis, 102 nucleotides. The record is from the annotation of a GenBank genome assembly. Lineage: Eukaryota; Metazoa; Mollusca; Cephalopoda; Sepiida; Sepiidae.